UGGAGGCUAUUGCUGGGAAGUUGAAAGAAAUGGAAGAAGAUGAAGACAUUGAUGAAGAUUCCGAGAUAAAGGCAGCACACUUUGGGAUUGAUUUUGUUGUGUAGGUUGCGGCAUUGGAGGUUGUUGUUUUGCAACCAAGGCGACACAGCUAACAGACAUGGAGGUGGAUAAGUGUGAGGAGACCACAUUGCAUGAUGUCGACAGUGAGGAGGAGAUGAGUAGGCUUGGCAAUUUUUGAUACGACCCAUGAACACGACACGAAAAAACUAGGUUUGGAUUUGUCACAAUCGAAUUUAGGUCAUAAUUGGGUCGACCCAAUUAUAAUAGUGUUUGGCGGGUUGACCUGCCAACACGAUUAUAACCCGGUAAAAAAAAAAAAAAAAAAUGAAAACUUCAAGAAAGAAGUUGAACCCUAUCCGCACACUUUCAUUUUUCACUGUCUUUCUUUCACUUGUUCAAUCAGAGACUCCGAAUUAGGGGUUCACUCGUGGUUCACGCAACCACACCCAUGAGCCCACGACAGCAACGACGCCUCACAGUCACGGUUUGUGGUUAAGCUGGUCAAUCAUUCAGGCUCUUCACAGUUCACAAUUCGGUGACUUUGGUAAUUCGGUUCACAAUUUGUUGAUUUUGGGUUCAAAUUGUUGUGAGUUGUAACUGUGAUUUAAGGUGGUUGGUCCUUUGUUGUGAGUUGAGAAUGGGUGGAGAAAUUUUUUGGGUUUUUUCUUUUUGUUUUCGAUUUGGGAACUGAAUGGGUUGAAGGAAUUUUUGUAAUUGUUUUGCUUAGAAAUUUCUUUGGGCUAUUCCUCAUAAUGGCCGAAUGGGAAUUUUUUUUUGGAGUUCUCUUUGUUUAUUGGUUGAGCUACCGAUCAGGUUGUUUCUCUUCUCA
This is a long non-coding RNA of Alnus glutinosa, 889 nucleotides long. RefSeq lists it as uncharacterized. The transcript is spliced from 3 exons. The record is from RefSeq and is a predicted model, not a curated record. NCBI's taxonomy places the organism in Eukaryota, Viridiplantae, Streptophyta, Magnoliopsida, Fagales, Betulaceae.